Molecule: ribosomal RNA, 420 nt
Filed under: Oligobregma sp. 68 PB
Lineage: Eukaryota; Metazoa; Annelida; Polychaeta; Scalibregmatidae
Description: partial 16S ribosomal RNA
Rfam family: Bacterial large subunit ribosomal RNA (bases 89-420)
Source: RNAcentral
AGCAUAAUAAAUAGCCCUCUAAUUAGGGGACAGUAUCAACGAGCAUACGAGAAAGAAACUGUCUCUUUUAUAAAAAUAAAAAUUAACCUUCAGGUGAAGAGGCCUGAAUCUAAUUAAAGGACAAAAAGACCCUAUUGAGCUUUACUUUACAAAAUAAUUUUACUAUUUUUUACACAACUGAAACAUUAAUUAAAGUUUGGUUGGGGCGACCGAGGAAAAUAAAACACUUCCUUUAAUAAAAAGACCUCAUGUCACACAAAAUGAGCCGUUUUACGACUUUUGAAAAUAGCUACCUUAGGGAUAACAGGCUAAUCCCUCUUAAGAGUCCACAUUGACAGAGGGGUUUGGCACCUCGAUGUUGGCUUAAGGCACCCAUUAGAUGUAGAAGUCAAAAAUGGUAGGUUUGUUCAACCUUUAAAG